This 545-nucleotide long non-coding RNA is filed under the name Felis catus (domestic cat). Its description in RNAcentral is "lncRNA (ENSFCAG00000047029.1)". Lineage: Eukaryota; Metazoa; Chordata; Mammalia; Carnivora; Felidae. The record is from RNAcentral.
UUGGACGUUACUUGGCUUGCGGAGUAUGGUGCUUUCUGAUUGGAUAUGGCUUUGGCGGGAAGGCUGUGGCCUAGCCAAAGCCGAGCAUUCUGAUGCAUCCUCGGAUGUUAGGUGGGAGUGGUCACGGUUUUCCCUGCGUGGGACAUAGCACAUUUUCGUGCACUGGCUUCAUCUGGUCCACGGAGGUGUGUUCUAUCUCAAGAGACUUGAGAUAGACUAACAGCUAACAAGAUGGAUGCCAGCUUCAUACCCAAAAUCUGCACCCGGCUUUCUUGUCCACCCUUUUUCCUGUGCAGAAAGGCCUUUGCCAUCCAGCGCCCAGGAACCAGUGCUGACAGGAAUUCUCAGAGCAAGCGGAACAUGGUCAAGGCAUGCUACUCUCUGGCUUUGGAGCUGUAGAAACUGGGCAGGCAGAAGGAAGCAAUAAGCAAUAAGAAGAAGGAAGCAUCAGUUGUCCCAAGCCUGAAGGAUUGGAACUGUAAAAACGUCUCUGGAAAGACUUUGACACAAAUCUGGUUUUAAAUAAAUGAGGGUUAGAAUAAGCA